Molecule: ribosomal RNA, 460 nt
Filed under: uncultured bacterium
Lineage: Bacteria
Description: partial 16S ribosomal RNA
Rfam family: Bacterial small subunit ribosomal RNA
Source: RNAcentral
CCUACGGGAGGCAGCAGUGAGGAAUAUUGGUCAAUGGACGAGAGUCUGAACCAGCCAAGUAGCGUGAAGGAUGACUGCCCUAUGGGUUGUAAACUUCUUUUAUAUGGGAAUAAAACGUUCCACGUGUGGGAUUUUGUAUGUACCAUAUGAAAAAGGAUCGGCUAACUCCGUGCCAGCAGCCGCGGUAAUACGGAGGAUCCGAGCGUUAUCCGGAUUUAUUGGGUUUAAAGGGAGCGUAGGUGGAUUGUUAAGUCAGUUGUGAAAGUUUGCGGCACAACCGUAAAAUUGCAGUUGAAACUGGCAGUCUUGAGUACAGUAGAGGUGGGCGGAAUUCGUGGUGUAGCGGUGAAAUGCUUAGAUAUCACGAAGAACUCCGAUUGCGAAGGCAGUUCACUGGACUGCAACUGACACUGAGGCUCGAAAGUGUGGGUAUCAAACAGGAUUAGAUACCCUUGUAGUC